Molecule: long non-coding RNA, 1399 nt
Filed under: Olea europaea (common olive)
Lineage: Eukaryota; Viridiplantae; Streptophyta; Magnoliopsida; Lamiales; Oleaceae
Description: long non-coding RNA (OEUR_LNC001641)
Source: RNAcentral
CACCUGCCUAUGGACCAUUGCAGAUAGAUAGAGCUGAAUCUGUCAACUUGCAGUUCGGUAACUUUGGGAUCAGUGCUUGGCCCAGUGAUACUGGGGGUACUAGUCAUGCCAGUAGUGUGGAUGAGUCAAAGGGUUACCAGACUGACAAUGGUAGUAAAUAUUAUUCGUCCUGCUGCAGUUCACCAAGGUUCUCAGAAGGGCAUGCAAAGGAGGUGGGUUUUAAUCAAUGAUUUGUCUUUAUAGUGGAGAAGUUAGAAAAUCCGUUUUCUUGUUUAUUAUAUCUUAAGCAACAGAUGGAAUUAUAAUGAUUGGAUACCAGCCCGGGUUAAAUGGAAGUUUCAAUCAACUUCUAAAAUCACGUCAUAUUGCAGCUCUGAUCAGUCUUUUUGUAUUAAUUUAUUUUAUCUGCGUUUUUUCUAAAUUUUUCUCCUUUUAACUUUUUGGUCUCCCUGUUUUUUGCAGCUCAAGGAAGAAAACUCAGUGCAUGGUAGUGAUGAAGAUGUUGAUGAACCGCCUGAGAUAGACAGUGAUGAGGAUCUUAGUGAUGGGCGAAAACAGAACCAAGAAGAGGUAAGGAUUUGUCAUCAGUUUAUUCAAAAAAUUCACAAAACGUAGCAUUCAUGAUUUUUUUUCCAUCUUGAACGAAGUGGAGUAAAUUCUUCUCUUGGUAUGAGAAUGUUUUGAUUAGCAGAUACAUAUGAGAUUCUAUGAAGUACCUUUUAGUUUGAAUGUCGUAGCUCCCAGGUAAAUGGCGAUGCAAAACUUGCAAGUUGCUUCUGCCCAUGGCUGAUAUGUUGGGAAUUCUCUGUUAACGUCAUUAAUGGGGAUAAGUACCAACAAAAUCUUGACCUUUUCAUGAGAACCAAAAGUGAACCAUUAUCGGAUGCAUUGUCUGGUGCUUUUCCAUAUCACCGCAGAUUGAAAACCGAGAGCAGAAUGCCACAUCAUGGCAAUACCAGGUUGAGAAAACGUUCUCAUAGCAUUCCAGCCCUGGGGAAGCAUGGGUCACUAAUAAAUGUUCCGAUGGUUAAAGAAGCGGUUCCUAGUGAUCAAGCAGUUUUUUGAGUUUCUCGUCUUUCCCUUCAUGUUCUUUUUGUAGCUUUGCAGCAAUCACCUUGUGGUGUAUAGAAUUACUUGGAUAGAUGAGUUUCUGGAUAUGGAUGGCCCCUGAGUUUUGUUGUGUCCAUAAAUUUCGAUUUUUAUUCCUAGCUAGGUAUUACAAUUAAUUGGGCCAAUCAGUCAGUCCCCAGGCAGGGUUGUACUCUUAUGUGGACCGGAUCUGAUUAAUUCGGUUUUCAGUACGCGAGAAUGGUAAUCAUAAGGAGAAUUACCUAGUUGAAAGUUGAAAGUUGAAAUGAUUCCCAGCCACAUACAUUGGACCAGUAUGGUAACAUAUUUA